GUAAUGUAAUUCAAAGUGCGUGUGUGGAUGUUUAUCGCUUUUGAGUUUGACAUGUUAAAGAUUCAAUAUUUUAGGAGUAUCAUCAGUUAAAUACCAUAAGUCUAGCCAUAAUCCGUACGAAUUAAUAUGUUUACUUAAAAUAUGGGUUUUAAUUUUUUCAAUAUAUCGUAGCGGCCUAAUACUUUUUUAAAAUUUCUGACAUCGUCAAUUGUGCGUUUUUGACUUUUUUAUUUACAACUUAAGCAGUUAUAAUUUUUGUAAGAAUAAUAAUUAUUAAGUAGUGCUGUGGAUCGUUGACUGGUGAUUAUAUUGCAAGUAUCGGAUAUUAGGCUGCAGAUUUCUUCCUGAUAAAUAUUACGUUGUGACAUUAGGUUAAUAUAUUAUAAAAUGCCACAGAGAGUAUGAAAGCUUAUUUAGUUACUAAUUGAAUAAUUCGUAAACUAAGUAAAGUGUGAAUUUAAAAAUUGAGUGUGCCCGGACGGAUUGGGGGGGGGGAAAUUAUUUUUAUAGCUUCUUAUUUUCCAUUAUAGUUAUCAUAUAAAUUUAUAUAUGAAUUUCCUCUCUGUAGCAAAGAGUUCCAUAUGUAUUAGCUUUGAAGAGAGGUUAAAAUAUUAAAGUGGAUUCAUCCGAUAAAAAUUUUGAUUUGAUUUACAUGCUAAAUUUUACUUCAUAUUUAUUAUUUUGCUUUCAGAUUUUCAUUAAAAAUGAAGUAUCUAGAACUUAUAUUUUCCCAGUAUAUGGACAGAGUUUACAUAUAUUUAAUUAAUUAAAGUUUCAUUUAAUUGAAAUGUAGCUGAUGCAUAAUUUGCAUGGACCAUGAAGAAUCAUAAGCAGGUCACUUUUUUAAGGCAUUGACUAAGUUUCCUCAAUUUAUGAAAUUAUUUCGUGGAUAGUUCAAAAUAUCUUAUAUUUAAAUCUUUCCUGCCAUAUGAUUCUGUCUUAGAAGAAUAGUUUUGUUUUAAUUAACAAAUUCAGAAUGAAAUUUUAAAAUAUAUUGCUUUUGUUUAUUAUAUAUAAUACUUAGUAAUUGUACGAGUCCCAAACUAUAUUGCAAUGAAAUCAUCUAAUGAAACUGGGAAUAUAAGAACUUUCCUGGGGAAAAAACAGAAAUCAUUUGAAUUUCAUUCAGUUCAUGAAUUUGAAAGCAAAGAUUUAAAAAAAGUAAUAAAGCCUUGUGCAUCAGCUUCAUUAUUAUCUGGGAGAGGAAAGCUGAUGCUGCAGCAGCAAAAUUAUGAAACUUUCUCAUCAGAAUUUUCUCGACAAUCUUUUAAAAUUUAUGGAAUGGAAGACCAAAAGUUAUUUCUUUCUUCAUAUCAAAUAUUAGAAAAAAUGAAUAAACUCAUAUCUAAAGUUACUAAUAUUAAAAGUUACAGCUGUUCUCAUGAGAAUCAUCUUGAAUGUGCAUGUGCUCAGAUAAGCUUUAGAAAAUUAAUUUUAUACCGUGAUAAUCUGAAGCAGCUUCUAGAGGAAAGAUGUACAUUAAUAUUAAAAGAAGAAUGUGACUUUUGUGUCAAGGAGAGUUUGAAUAUGAUUUGUGAUUUUAAGCAUAUUUAUAUAAAUGAAAAAAUGAAAAUGACAUCUCUUCCUAUUCAGUCAUUUAACAGAUUCAUUGACAGUUCAGACUUGAGUAUUUCAGUAUUAGAAUUAUUUUUGAAAAAGCUGCAAAUGAUCUGUGAUUUACAUUUAUCUCUCAGCAGCAGUUAUCAAAAGAUCAUUAAUUUUUUCCAUGUUAGUUUCAGUAUGGAUUUGUAUCAAAUAGUUUUAAAAACCAACAAAAUGUUGCAGAAAUUGAAAUCUGAGAUAUUUUAUUGGGCUCAUAAAAUACUGGCCAUUUAUAUGCAAAAGCUUUGUUUAGCAGAUCCUAAUUCAGUUUCACCAAAUUUUUUGCAGGACGUUUUAGAAAUUUAUAAAGUUUUCAAUGUAAUCAUAUCAGAUAAUGAAAAGGUUAUGAGACAAAAAUAUUUGAAGGCAGCCAGUGAUCUUUUUUAUGAUAGUGUAGUGCAUUAUGAAUGUAAAAAGUUGCCAUUUAGUAUUAUGCUACAGUACCUAUCUCUAUUUGAAGCUAAGGUAGCAGCAGAAAGAAUUGUUCAAUUUUUAAUUGGUAUGUGUAAACAUUUUAAGCUAGUAAAUUUCCAAAAGAAAGACAGUUUUAAUCAUGAAUGGGUCAAAGUAGUGAGUGCUACAUCUGAUUAUUGUAGCGGCUCGGCCAGUGAUGUUAUUUCAGAAAAUGUGCUUGCUGAAUCACCAAAACCUGUAUCUAAUUUUCUAAAUGUCCUGUUUUCCUUAAUGCAGCGAAACCAGUCUUUCGUUUUAAAAUAUUUGUAUGCUAUUAUGAAUGUAAAGAAUAUAUCAUCGCAUAAGAGUAGAACGAAACAUUUGCAUGAAAAAACUUCAAAACUUAGUUCAGUUCGUCAGACUUGGAGCUUGCCACUACAAGUACACGAAGGGGACAGUUACAUUCAUCUAGAGGAAAUAUAUUGGUCACAUUUUUGGAAUAAUACUGAAAAAUUCAUCCUGAAACUCCUUUUACAAGUUCCAUACCAUCAAUAUGGGGCAGCUGCUGCUGGAGCAAUUAUUUUAUGGCCAGAAUCAUAUCGUAAUUACAUCAUACACAUUUUACAAAUGAGUAUAAAAAAUGAAGAUAUCUCUCCUGAAAGCAGAGUUGUUAUGAAUCAAAUAUCAAAUUACAUUUUUGCUUAUUCUUUGCAAAUUUCCUGGGAUAGAGAUUUUUGUUUAUCACUUUCUGCUGUGCAGGUUGAUAACUGUGUGCCUGUGCCAACAGUGCAGAAUGAGAUCAGAACUCACACUGGAAAUUUGUUUUCUGAUUGUUUAACACAAGUUACUAGAAUUUUGAAUAAUGAUGUUCAUGAUAUGGAACUACUUAUUUAUUUGAAAUGUAUUCUUCAAAUUCAAGCAACUUUAGAUUGUUUUAAUUUAUGGCUGACUGUGAGAACCAGAGCUUUAGUGUCAUCAUGGAAUUUGUCAAUGUAUAUGCUCAUCAGUUUUUCUGAUUGUCGACAUGCGGCUAAAUUAUUGAAAAGUAGGGAGAUACCAGGUGCUUCAACAGAUAAGCAUUCAGUGACGUCAAAAAUUAUCCCUUCUACCAAACACAAGUUAGAAAGCUCUGUUUUAAAGCAAGUUAAAGAUCUAGAGGGAUGUGUAUCUGAAGCUCCAAAUUUGCUUUACAAGAUUUAUUACAGAACGACAUCAAGAAUUCUGCUGUCUGUCUUGAAAACAGCCUGUGGCUGUCAAAUAAAAAGAAAAAUCAAAGAUGUAUGGGCCUGUUUCAGUAGAAGAAAUGUUGUUUCCAUUGACUGAAAGUUUAAACCACAUUGCUGAUGUAUCUCCAAUAAUCAUAGCAUCAACAUCUGCUAUCGCAGAAGCAUUUCUGCAUUUUCUUUAUAAAUGUAAAAGAAGUUUAAGUGCUGCAAGGAAUGUUAGCUUUAUAAGUGCAGAAGCAUUGAAAUUUCUAUUGUGGGUGAAGAAUCUUCCUGAACCUGAGAAAGGAAACAUUGCAAAAUUGGAGUCAGUGCAGAAAUUAUGUUCUGUGGUGGAACUA
RNAcentral lists this unclassified non-coding RNA (3559 nucleotides) under Stegodyphus dumicola. Its description in RNAcentral is "uncharacterized LOC118193196, transcript variant X3". The record is from RNAcentral. Lineage: Eukaryota; Metazoa; Arthropoda; Arachnida; Araneae; Eresidae.